Molecule: ribosomal RNA, 389 nt
Filed under: uncultured bacterium
Lineage: Bacteria
Description: bacterial SSU rRNA
Rfam family: Bacterial small subunit ribosomal RNA
Source: RNAcentral
AUUGAACGCUGGCGGCAUGCUUUACACAUGCAAGUCGAACGGCAGCACGGGGGCAACCCUGGUGGCGAGUGGCGAACGGGUGAGUAAUAUAUCGGAACGUACCCGGAAAUGGGGGAUAACGUAGCGAAAGUUACGCUAAUACCGCAUAUGCCCUAAGGGGGAAAGCGGGGGAUUCGCAAGAACCUCGCGUUUUCGGAGCGGCCGAUAUCGGAUUAGCUAGUAGGUGAGGUAAAGGCUCACCUAGGCGACGAUCCGUAGCUGGUCUGAGAGGACGACCAGCCACACUGGAACUGAGACACGGUCCAGACUCCUACGGGAGGCAGCAGUGGGGAAUUUUGGACAAUGGGCGCAAGCCUGAUCCAGCCAUGCCGCGUGAGUGAAGAAGGCCC